This 492-nucleotide ribosomal RNA is filed under the name uncultured bacterium. Its description in RNAcentral is "partial 16S ribosomal RNA". It matches the Rfam family "Bacterial small subunit ribosomal RNA", at positions 29 to 507 of the family's 1533-position model. The record is from RNAcentral.
AGUGAACGCUGGCGGUAGGCCUAACACAUGCAAGUCGAACGGCAGCACAGUAAGAGCUUGCUCUUACGGGUGGCGAGUGGCGGACGGGUGAGGAAUACAUCGGAAUCUACUUUUUCGUGGGGGAUAACGUAGGCAAACUUACGCUAAUACCGCAUACGACCUACGGGUGAAAGCAGGGGAUCUUCGGACCUUGCGCGAUUGAAUGAGCCGAUGUCGGAUUAGCUAGUUGGCGGGGUAAAGGCCCACCAAGGCGACGAUCCGUAGCUGGUCUGAGAGGAUGAUCCGCCACACUGGAACUGGGACAGGGUCCAGACUCCUACGGGAGGCAGCAGUGGGGAAUAUUUGACAAUGGGCGCAAGCCUGAUCCAGCCAUACCGCGUGGGUGAAGAAGGCCUUCGGGUUGUAAAGCCCUUUUGUUGGGAAAGAAAAUCAGCAGGUUAAUACCCCGCUGUUCUGACGGUACCCAAAGAAUAAGCACCGGCUAACUUCGUG